AGUGAACGCUGGCGGCAGGCCUAAUACAUGCAAGUCGAACGGCAGCACAGCAGAGCUUGCUCUGUGGGUGGCGAGUGGCGGACGGGUGAGGAAUACAUGGGAAUCUGCCCAGUCGUGGGGGAUAACGUAUGGAAACGUACGCUAAUACCGCAUGCGCCCUACGGGGGAAAGCCGGGGACCGCAAGGCCUGGCGCGAUUGGAUGAGCCCAUGUUCGAUUAGCUAGUUGGCGGGGUAAAGGCCCACCAAGGCGACGAUCGAUAGCUGGUCUGAGAGGAUGAUCAGCCACACUGGAACUGAGACACGGUCCAGACUCCUACGGGAGGCAGCAGUAGGGAAUAUUGGACAAUGGGGGCAACCCUGAUCCAGCCAUGCCGCGUGAGUGAAGAAGGCCCUCGGGUUGUAAAGCUCUUUUGUCCGGAAAGAAAAGCAAUCGGUUAAUACCCGGUUGUUCUGACGGUACCGGAAGAAUAAGCA
RNAcentral lists this ribosomal RNA (475 nucleotides) under uncultured bacterium. RNAcentral describes it as "bacterial SSU rRNA". It matches the Rfam family "Bacterial small subunit ribosomal RNA", at positions 29 to 492 of the family's 1533-position model. The record is from RNAcentral.